RNAcentral lists this ribosomal RNA (510 nucleotides) under uncultured Acidobacteriota bacterium. RNAcentral's name for it is "bacterial SSU rRNA". It matches the Rfam family "Bacterial small subunit ribosomal RNA", at positions 548 to 1050 of the family's 1533-position model. The record is from RNAcentral. Lineage: Bacteria; Pseudomonadati; Acidobacteriota.
GAUUUACUGGGCGUAAAGGGCGCGUAGGCGGUCACAACAAGUCACUUGUGAAAUCUCCGGGCUUAACUCGGAAAGGUCAAGUGAUACUGUCGGACUAGAGUACAGAAGGGGCAACUGGAAUUCUCGGUGUAGCGGUGAAAUGCGUAGAUAUCGAGAGGAACACCUGCGGCGAAGGCGGGUUGCUGGGCUGAUACUGACGCUGAGGCGCGAAAGCUAGGGGAGCGAACGGGAUUAGAUACCCCGGUAGUCCUAGCCUUAAACGAUGAAUGCUUGGUGUCUCGGGUUAUAAAGUCCCGGGGUGCCGUCGCUAACGCUUUUAGCAUUCCGCCUGGGGAGUACGGUCGCAAGACUGAAACUCAAAGGAAUUGACGGGGACCCGCACAAGCGGUGGAGCAUAUGGUUUAAUUCGACGCAACGCGAAGAACCUUACCUGGGCUAGAAUGCUCCGGACAGCCCCAGAGAUGGGGUCUCCUGGGUAACACCAGGCCGGAUGCAAGGUGCUGCAUGGCU